CCUACACAAGAGGACAACAGUUGGAAACGACUGCUAAUACUCUAUACUCCUGCUUAACACAAGUUGAGUAGGGAAAGUUUUUCGGUGUAGGAUGAGACUAUAUAGUAUCAGCUAGUUGGUGAGGUAAUGGCCCACCAAGGCUAUGACGCUUAACUGGUCUGAGAGGAUGAUCAGUCACACUGGAACUGAGACACGGUCCAGACUCCUACGGGAGGCAGCAGUAGGGAAUAUUGCGCAAUGGGGGAAACCCUGACGCAGCAACGCCGCGUGGAGGAUGACACUUUUCGGAGCGUAAACUCCUUUUCUUAGGGAAGAAUUCUGACGGUACCUAAGGAAUAAGCACCGGCUAACUCCGUGCCAGCAGCCGCGGUAAUACGGAGGGUGCAAGCGUUACUCGGAAUCACUGGGCGUAAAGGGCGCGUAGGCGGAUUAUCAAGUCUCUUGUGAAAUCUAAUGGCUUAACCAUUAAACUGCUUGGGAAACUGAUAGUCUAGAGUGAGGGAGAGGCAGAUGGAAUUGGUGGUGUAGGGGUAAAAUCCGUAGAUAUCACCAAGAAUACCCAUUGCGAAGGCGAUCUGCUGGAACUCAACUGACGCUAAGGCGCGAAAGCGUGGGGAGCAAACAGGAUUAGAUACCCUGGUAGUCCACGCCCUAAACGAUGUACACUAGUUGUUGGGGUGCUAGUCAUCUCAGUAAUGCAGCUAACGCAUUAAGUGUACCGCCUGGGGAGUACGGUCGCAAGAUUAAAACUCAAAGGAAUAGACGGGGACCCGCACAAGCGGUGGAGCAUGUGGUUUAAUUCGAAGAUACGCGAAGAACCUUACCUGGGCUUGAUAUCCUAAGAACCUUUUAGAGAUAAGAGGGUGCUAGCUUGCUAGAACUUAGAGACAGGUGCUGCACGGCUGUCGUCAGCUCGUGUCGUGAGAUGUUGGGUUAAGUCCCGCAACGAGCGCAACCCACGUAUUUAGUUGCUAACGGUUCGGCCGAGCACUCUAAAUAGACUGCCUUCGUAAGGAGGAGGAAGGUGUGGACGACGUCAAGUCAUCAUGGCCCUUAUGCCCAGGGCGACACACGUGCUACAAUGGCAUAUACAAUGAGACGCAAUACCGCGAGGUGGAGCAAAUCUAUAAAAUAUGUCCCAGUUCGGAUUGUUCUCUGCAACUCGAGAGCAUGAAGCCGGAAUCGCUAGUAAUCGUAGAUCAGCCAUGCUACGGUGAAUACGUUCCCGGGUCUUGUACUCACCGCCCGUCACACCAUGGGAGUUGAUUUCACUCGAAGCCGGAAUACUAAACUAGUUACCGUCCACAGUGGAAUCAGCGACUGGGGUGAAGUCGUAACAAGGUAACCGUAGGAGAACCUGCGGUUGGAUCACCUCCUUUCUA
This 1382-nucleotide ribosomal RNA is filed under the name Campylobacter coli. RNAcentral's name for it is "bacterial SSU rRNA". It matches the Rfam family "Bacterial small subunit ribosomal RNA". Lineage: Bacteria; Pseudomonadati; Campylobacterota; Epsilonproteobacteria; Campylobacterales; Campylobacteraceae. The record is from RNAcentral.